UCAGAUGAAUGGAUUGGUUAUUUAAAGGUAUCUGCAGUAGCAUCAGGAUCUUGAGCUUCAAGCUAAAGCUCGUCAUGGUCGUUGUGACCAAGCUAAGCAUGCUCA
RNAcentral lists this unclassified non-coding RNA (105 nucleotides) under Podospora anserina S mat+. The record is from RNAcentral. Lineage: Eukaryota; Fungi; Ascomycota; Sordariomycetes; Sordariales; Podosporaceae.